Molecule: ribosomal RNA, 886 nt
Filed under: uncultured bacterium
Lineage: Bacteria
Description: bacterial SSU rRNA
Rfam family: Bacterial small subunit ribosomal RNA
Source: RNAcentral
AGAGUUUGAUCAUGGCUCAGAUUGAACGCUGGCGGCAUGCCUAACACAUGCAAGUCGAACGGUAACAGAACUAGCUUGCUAGUUGCUGACGAGUGGCGGACGGGUGAGUAAUGUAUAGGAACUUGCCUAGUAGUGGGGGACAACGUGUGGAAACGCACGCUAAUACCGCAUACGCUCUACGGAGGAAAGUGGGGGAUCUUCGGACCUCACGCUACUAGAUAGGCCUAUAUUGGAUUAGCUAGUUGGUAAGGUAAAGGCUUACCAAGGCGACGAUCCAUAGCUGGUUUGAGAGAAUGAUCAGCCACACUGGGACUGAGACACGGCCCAGACUCCUACGGGAGGCAGCAGUGGGGAAUAUUGCACAAUGGAGGAAACUCUGAUGCAGCAAUGCCGCGUGUGUGAAGAAGGCCUUAGGGUUGUAAAGCACUUUAAGUUGGGAGGAAAAGCUGUGUAUUAAUAAUGCAUAGCCGUGACGUUACCAACAGAAUAAGGACCGGCUAACUCCGUGCCAGCAGCCGCGGUAAUACGGAGGGUCCAAGCGUUAAUCGGAAUUACUGGGCGUAAAGCGCGCGUAGGCGGCUUAUUAAGUCAGAUGUGAAAUCCCUGGGCUCAACCUAGGAACUGCAUUUGAUACUGGUAAGCUAGAGUAUGGUAGAGGUGAGUGGAAUUUCAGGUGUAGCGGUGAAAUGCGUAGAGAUCUGAAGGAACAUCAGUGGCGAAGGCGACUCACUGGGCAUUACUGACGCUGAGGUGCGAAAGCGUGGGUAGCAAAACAGGAUUAGAUACCCUGGUAGUCCACGCCCUAAACGAUGUCAACUAGGUGUAUGGGGGGUUUAUCCCUUGUGUAUCGAAGCUAACGCGAUAAGUUUGACCGCCUGGGGAGUAC